This 565-nucleotide ribosomal RNA is filed under the name Streptomyces sp. 384B07. RNAcentral describes it as "bacterial SSU rRNA". It matches the Rfam family "Bacterial small subunit ribosomal RNA", at positions 93 to 671 of the family's 1533-position model. The record is from RNAcentral. Lineage: Bacteria; Bacillati; Actinomycetota; Actinomycetes; Kitasatosporales; Streptomycetaceae.
UAGUGGCGAACGGGUGAGUAACACGUGGGCAAUCUGCCCUUCACUCUGGGACAAGCCCUGGAAACGGGGUCUAAUACCGGAUAAUACUCCUGCCUGCAUGGGCGGGGGUUGAAAGCUCCGGCGGUGAAGGAUGAGCCCGCGGCCUAUCAGCUUGUUGGUGGGGUAAUGGCCCACCAAGGCGACGACGGGUAGCCGGCCUGAGAGGGCGACCGGCCACACUGGGACUGAGACACGGCCCAGACUCCUACGGGAGGCAGCAGUGGGGAAUAUUGCACAAUGGGCGAAAGCCUGAUGCAGCGACGCCGCGUGAGGGAUGACGGCCUUCGGGUUGUAAACCUCUUUCAGCAGGGAAGAAGCGAAAGUGACGGUACCUGCAGAAGAAGCGCCGGCUAACUACGUGCCAGCAGCCGCGGUAAUACGUAGGGCGCAAGCGUUGUCCGGAAUUAUUGGGCGUAAAGAGCUCGUAGGCGGCUUUGUCACGUCGGAUGUGAAAGCCCGAGGCUUAACCUCGGGUCUGCAUUCGAUACGGGCUAGCUAGAGUGUGGNAGGGGAGAUCGGAAUUCCU